AGUGCUUGCACUAAAUGAAACUAGAUACAAGCGAGCGGCGGACGGGUGAGUAACACGUGGGUAACCUGCCCAAGAGACUGGGAUAACACCUGGAAACAGAUGCUAAUACCGGAUAACAACACUAGACACAUGUCUAGAGUUUGAAAGAUGGUUCUGCUAUCACUCUUGGAUGGACCUGCGGUGCAUUAGCUAGUUGGUAAGGUAACGGCUUACCAAGGCAAUGAUGCAUAGCCGAGUUGAGAGACUGAUCGGCCACAUUGGGACUGAGACACGGCCCAAACUCCUACGGGAGGCAGCAGUAGGGAAUCUUCCACAAUGGACGAAAGUCUGAUGGAGCAACGCCGCGUGAGUGAAGAAGGGUUUCGGCUCGUAAAGCUCUGUUGGUAGUGAAGAAAGAUAGAGGUAGUAACUGGCCUUUAUUUGACGGUAAUUACUUAGAAAGUCACGGCUAACUACGUGCCAGCAGCCGCGGUAAUACGUAGGUGGCAAGCGUUGUCCGGAUUUAUUGGGCGUAAAGCGAGUGCAGGCGGUUCAAUAAGUCUGAUGUGAAAGCCUUCGGCUCAACCGGAGAAUUGCAUCAGAAACUGUUGAACUUGAGUGCAGAAGAGGAGAGUGGAACUCCAUGUGUAGCGGUGGAAUGCGUAGAUAUAUGGAAGAACACCAGUGGCGAAGGCGGCUCUCUGGUCUGCAACUGACGCUGAGGCUCGAAAGCAUGGGUAGCGAACAGGAUUAGAUACCCUGGUAGUCCAUGCCGUAAACGAUGAGUGCUAAGUGUUGGGAGGUUUCCGCCUCUCAGUGCUGCA
RNAcentral lists this ribosomal RNA (803 nucleotides) under uncultured bacterium. RNAcentral describes it as "bacterial SSU rRNA". It matches the Rfam family "Bacterial small subunit ribosomal RNA", at positions 75 to 850 of the family's 1533-position model. The record is from RNAcentral.